CCCUUAGAUAUCCUAGGCUGCACGCGAGCUACAAUGGUAUAUAUAAAAGGUUGCUGUUCUGAGAAGACUGGCAAUACCCUGAUAUAUAUCGUAUUUGGAAUAGAUUUUUGUAAUUAUCAAUCUUGAACGAGGAAUUCCUAGUAAAAAUAUUUCAUCAUAAUGUUUUGAUUGUGUCCCUGCCCUUUGUACACACCGCCCGUCGCUCCUACCGAUUGAAUAUUCCGGUGAGAAGAUAGGAGAAAAAUCUUUUGAUUUUUUGAAUAUUUUUGAACCUUGAUAUUUAGAGGAAGGAGAAGUCGUANCA
RNAcentral lists this ribosomal RNA (304 nucleotides) under uncultured eukaryote. RNAcentral's name for it is "partial 18S ribosomal RNA". It matches the Rfam family "Eukaryotic small subunit ribosomal RNA", at positions 1470 to 1796 of the family's 1831-position model. The record is from RNAcentral.